Long non-coding RNA from Lutra lutra (Eurasian river otter), 817 nucleotides. RefSeq lists it as uncharacterized. The transcript has 2 exons. The record is from RefSeq and is a predicted model, not a curated record. Lineage: Eukaryota; Metazoa; Chordata; Mammalia; Carnivora; Mustelidae.
AUAAGACGGUCGGCGAGGCUGACAGGCUGCGAGGACACUCCAGCCUUGUAGCCUGUCACCUCCGGGGGGAUGAUGACCGCCUGGCAGACGUAGGCUGUGAUGGAUUUGGAGAAACCCGACUCACCCUCAGGAAUCCGGAGCAGAAGACAAGGAGGAGCGAACCAGAAGAAGGGUGUUCGGGAUGGCAGAAGAGAAGCUACAAGCCUUUCCCGUGCCCCACUUUCAAAUGCCUGCCUUUUCAAAAGCCUGCCUCCUCUCUCCCAGGUUCUCUGCAGGACACUGAGCUUCAGAGGGGAUUUAGGGGGCCUAGGUGGUUUUGGCUCAGGUCAUGAUCUUAUGGGUCCUGAUCUUGUGGGUCGUGAAAUGGAGCCCCACGAGGGGCUCUGUGCUCAGCACGAAGUCAGCUUCUCUCCCUCUCUCUCUGUCCUCUCGCUCUCCCUCUCCCCCUAUUUGGUAUAAAUAAAUAAAUUAAUAAUAAUAAUAAUAAAUAAUAAUAAUAAUAAGUAAUAAAUAAGUAAAUCUUUAAAAAGAGGGGAUUACAUCCCAUAAACCCCAUAAACACCUUACUCCUUUCUAGAAUCUCCGUUCAGCAGCAGCCUUAUGCAACUGUCAUUCCCUCCCUCAGCGGCAGAGGGAGCCCUAGGGGAAGAAGUUUGCCGCAAAGGCCUGGGGUGCGGGGAGAAGUUGCCCCGGGGUCUGCAGAACUGUGGCAUUUACUGCACAGCUAAACUAAGCAGCAUUUGCAGACUGUAUAAAUAAUGCCUCACAGAUGUUUGUGUAUCGAUGUGGUUGUGAUAAGUGAAAUAUAAAUUCAUUU